AUGGGAACGCGAAGAACCUUACCUAGACUUGACAUCUCCUGAAUAGUGUAGAGAUACAUGAAGCCCUUCGGGGCAGGAAGACAGGUGGUGCAUGGUUGUCGUCAGCUCGUGUCGUGAGAUGUUGGGUUAAGUCCCGCAACGAGCGCAACCCUUAUUACUAGUUGCUACCAUUAAGUUGAGCACUCUAGUGAGACUGCCCGGGGUUAACCGGGAGGAAGGCGGGGAUGACGUCAAAUCAUCAUGCCCCUUAUGUCUAGGGCCACACACGUGCUACAAUGGUGGGGACAAAGAGAUGCGAAACCGCAAGGUUGAGCCAAACUCAAAACCCCAUCCCAGUUCGGAUUGUAGGCUGAAACUCGCCUACAUGAAGCCGGAGUUGCUAGUAAUCGCGAAUCAGAAUGUCGCGGUGAAUACGUUCCCGGGUCUUGUACACACCG
This 437-nucleotide ribosomal RNA is filed under the name uncultured bacterium. Its description in RNAcentral is "bacterial SSU rRNA". It matches the Rfam family "Bacterial small subunit ribosomal RNA", at positions 954 to 1392 of the family's 1533-position model. The record is from RNAcentral.